Molecule: long non-coding RNA, 1188 nt
Organism: Oncorhynchus nerka (sockeye salmon)
Lineage: Eukaryota; Metazoa; Chordata; Actinopteri; Salmoniformes; Salmonidae
Exons: 6
Source: RefSeq, a predicted model, not a curated record
ACUCCCCAGCCCUGCUAGUGUGCCAAAGAACACCUGUGUGUAAGCUAACUGUGCAGGAAGAGUAGUUCAUCAACUGGAGGCACACACAGUGUAUGGAUCUGCGCAAAAUUGCUUCAAGGAAGAAGAAAAUAAGGAAGAUCCAGAGCUGACUGACCCAUGUGGACUUACGGAUGAUGAACUCACGGCCACACUGCUCAAAUAUUUAGUCGAAGCUAGACCCAUUGUAGCCACCACCAGGUCUAUCUAUAAGAGGAAGUAAAAGGCUACUAGAACCUACCCAGCCCAGACAGAAUGGUGGCACAGGAUAUGCAAACCAGUACUAUGACAGUGAAGAAGAGGCGGAAGAGUGGGGUUCAGAACAAGGAAGACCAGAGCAGUGGAGGAAUAUCAGCAUGCUAAUGAUCAGGAGCAGGUCACAGAUGUCCUGAUGGAGAUGUUCCCAGAGACAGAACCUACAAGCACUGGCAUUGCUGCCACCCGUCGGAGGCCUAUCAAGGGUGCAGCGGGGCGACCAGUCCAGUUUAAAUUCCCAGAUCUCCCUGCCAGUCUCAUGACCCUACAGAGACGGGCAUUGGAGCGCCGCCUGGUGCCUCUGUUGGUCUAGAUCCUGGUCUUCCUCAUCUUGACUUGCCUCUUCUACCUCAUCUACGCUGCCAUGGAAUAGAGCUUGGACCAACCCUUUGUGGCCUUGCUGGACAACCUCAGUAUGGGGACAGAGACUGAGGGACUGUCACUCCAGGCUGACCCCUAGGACUCAUCUGUACACCCUCUCUAGGGAGUAGUAACUCCCCUGCUCUAGCUAUGUGUCCUGAUUCUCCACCCUUCUCUUAAAGGGAGAAAUAUUUUCUUGCAUGGAUUUAAUAAUGGAUAAAACUUAAUCCAGCCAAUGCUUAUACCAAUCCUAAACUUUCAAAUACGUGAUGAGAAGUAGUGCACACUUCGGGAAAAAGAUGGACAUUCGGGAUACUCCACAAAUUGUUUUAGUUGUUGUGAGGCAAUUAAUUUGGUCACCGUAAUUCACCUUUACUCUCUGGAUUAAGUCACUCUUAACCAAGCAAGAUAGCCAUUAUAAUACUGUUGGUUGGAAAAUGUUCAGGUGAAACUACUGUUCAAAUAUAUACUGUGAUGGUGGAAGUGCAGAAAAUAAAAUGUGAUUUAGCCUAAUUUAGAGUAAUAAUAACAUUUUGA